UUAAGGCCCAAAUCCUAGUCUGCACUCUGGCUAUUUGCAUACCUAAACCCAGCAGAUCCAGCUCCGGAGAAUCUCCCCUAUGCAGGGGGAAAACUCAGACAGCAUAGCAUCACUAUAGCCUAAUAGCAUCCAGCUACCAGCAUAAGGGGGAUAGCUGUGGACAAGGGGAAUACACAAGGUUUGCCUAUGUCCUGGCAAUUUCUGGAUAUCAUAGCAUACCAGCUGAUGUAUGUUAAAGCAACCUUUGGGGACAGUGGGCACAGGAUCAGUGAGCCCAAUUCUCCUGUUACACUAGUCAGCUAUGGAGCAAUUCCAUUAAAUUAUUCAAGUUUUACGCUACUGUAAUAGAACAAAGUCAAAAGUUGAGAAUUCUAAAGGUUCAAUUAUUCUCUCAGGACUAUCUGACAUUAGGAGUAGUAGCAGAUGACAAGUGCUGAGAUGGUGUCCUCUGGGGAAUUGGACUGAAUCUUGUGUAAUACCUCAAGGCCCAGAAUGAUAUCAAGCUUUUCAGAAGGUCAUUCAAUGCCUUUUUCCACUAUCCAAGGAAAAAU
This is a long non-coding RNA of Dermochelys coriacea (leatherback sea turtle), 551 nucleotides long. RefSeq lists it as uncharacterized. The transcript has 2 exons. The record is from RefSeq and is a predicted model, not a curated record. Lineage: Eukaryota; Metazoa; Chordata; Testudines; Dermochelyidae.